UUAUUUAAGGGCCGCGGUAAUCUGACCGUGCAAAGGUAGCGUAAUAGUUAGUUUUUUAAUUGGAAUCUUGUAUGAAUGGUUGGACAAGAGAAGAACUGUCUCUAUAAUUUAUUUUGAAUUUAACUUUUGAGUGAAAAGGCUUAAAUAUUUUAAUAAGACGAUAAGACCCUAUAAAGCUUCAUAGUAGAUUAUAUUUUAUUGAAGUAGAAGAUAAAAAUUUAAUAGAUGAUACUAUUUCGUUGGGGAGACGAGAUUAUAAAUUGUAGUAACUGUUAAUAAUUUAUACAAUUGUUUUUGAGUGGUUAGUUAAAGAUCCUAUAUUAGAGAUUAAAAGUUUAAGUUACUUUAGGGAUAACAGCGUUAUUUUUUUUGAGAGCUCAUAUCGAAAAAAAAGAUUGCGACCUCGAUGUUGAAUUAAAAAUCCUAGAUAAUUGUAGCAGUUAUAAUAGGAGGUCUGUUCGACCUUUAAAUUUUUA
RNAcentral lists this ribosomal RNA (476 nucleotides) under Tridacnatheres whitei. RNAcentral's name for it is "partial large subunit ribosomal RNA". It matches the Rfam family "Bacterial large subunit ribosomal RNA", at positions 1920 to 2598 of the family's 2925-position model. Lineage: Eukaryota; Metazoa; Arthropoda; Malacostraca; Decapoda; Pinnotheridae. The record is from RNAcentral.